RNAcentral lists this ribosomal RNA (431 nucleotides) under uncultured bacterium. RNAcentral describes it as "partial 16S ribosomal RNA". It matches the Rfam family "Bacterial small subunit ribosomal RNA", at positions 29 to 507 of the family's 1533-position model. The record is from RNAcentral.
AGCGAACGCUGGCGGCAGGCUUAACACAUGCAAGUCGAGCGCCCCGCAAGGGGCUCGGCAGUCGGGUGAGUUACCCGUGGGAACGUACCCUUUUGUUCGGAACAACCCAGGGAAACUUGGGCUAAUACCGGAUAAGUCCGCGAGGAGAAAGAUUUAUCGCCGAAGGUUCGGCCCGCGUCUGAUUAGCUAGUUGGUGUGGUAACGGCGCACCAAGGCGACGUUCAGUAGCUGGUCUGAGAGGAGGAUCAGCCACCCUGGGACUGAGACACGGCCCAGACCCCUACGGGAGGCAGCAGUGGGGAAUAUUGGACAAUGGGGGCAAACCUGAUCAAGCCAUGCGGGGUGAGUGAUGAAGGCCCUAGGGUUGUAAAGCUCUUUCGGUGGGGAAGAUAAUGACGGUACCCACAGAAGAAGCCCCGGCUAACUUCGUG